Vespa velutina is the source of this 1299-nucleotide long non-coding RNA. RefSeq lists it as uncharacterized. The record is from RefSeq and is a predicted model, not a curated record. The transcript has 3 exons. Lineage: Eukaryota; Metazoa; Arthropoda; Insecta; Hymenoptera; Vespidae.
UUCUCGGUUCGUUUCACUUGGUUUCUUGGACACCGAGAGCCUUGCUGAUCCGCACUGUCAUCCGAUACUGGCAGCUUCCAGCUAGUUUACUCUUCGAGAGUCGAUUUCUUCUUUCUGCGGCUCCCUCGUGUCACGUGGACGAAGCCUCGGAUUACGAGAAGGAAAGGAGGCCGGUCUCGUAUUCUCGUUCGUGCUUCGAAUCGAAGCAAGAAGUCGACGCGUGAAACCUCGAGGGUAAUCGACGUCCUAACAGGACGACGGCUUCGAACUCACCGGUAUCGACAGGAUAAAGAUACUCUAUCGAUGAAAUAAAUGGAAGAAGUUGAAGGAGCACGAUUCGUGGCACGUAAAAGAAGAGAUCAGGAAGUUUUUAUCGUGGACCGGGUGCGAGCGCCGGCCGUGACGUGGUAAUUAAUCCGUGCCCCUCGCCUUUUAGUUAAUUCAAGCUCUCUGCCUCCGAAGGCAGUACCGAGAUUAUAGCUGCUUGAUUAGCUGGCUCUUUACAACUCCAGCGAGAAUAGCUAUUUAUACGAACAUACAGGGCAAACUGUUCGAUCGUAAAGGUCAAACGUAAUGUCAACGAUUUACUCUCGCUUUUCCUGUAAAUUCAUACGGGUUGCCACCGGCCAAACAGCCAGCCAACCAACCAACCAACCAACCAACGAACCAACCAACCAGACCGAUCAUAAUCUUUUUAUCUAAUACUUCUCUGUAUACGUGACAUACGUUGCACAAAUGGGGAGACGGAAGAAGAAGAAGAAGAAGAAGAAGAAGAAGAAGAAGAAGAAGAAGAAGAAGAAGAAGAAGAAGAAAGAGAAAAAAAAAGGAAUCUUUACUCUCAUGAAAGUGUAGAGAUAAGUGUAUAUGAUUUACGACGGAUUCGUAAGAUGAUUUGUAAUAGUGCCCCGUUUAACCCCGAAUGAAAUUAAUUGCCAAUCUCUAUGACGGUUAAAUUUCUUACACUUCUUCAUCUGAUUAUUAUCACCGUGAGAUCGCAACUAUUAUUUUUCCAUUUUAUUAGAUGAAAAUAUUAUACGAGCUAUGAAAAAAGAUUUCCGCAUUUAGAAUUGUCAGAUUUUGCAUCUUCUUGUAUGAUAGAUGUAUGAUAAACAAUGAUUAAGCAUAUAAUAACCGUCAUCUUUUGAGUGUUGAAAAGAUAAAUAGAUAGAGAGAAAGAGAGAGAAAGAAGAAAAAAAAGGGAGAAAAGGAAAGAAGCUCGAGAGAGAAAGAAUGACACGAAGAGCAUCCAUCCUACCAGCAUGUACUUAUUUUACAUCUCGAGUAGAUCGAAGAGUUCAG